GUCUAUGGCCAUUCCACCCUGAAUGUGCCCAAUCUUGUCUGAUCUCAGAAGCUAAGCAGGGUGGACCUGGUUAGUACUUGGAUGGGAGAUCAGCCAGCAAACGAUGUGUGAGGAGU
RNAcentral lists this ribosomal RNA (116 nucleotides) under Octodon degus (degu). Lineage: Eukaryota; Metazoa; Chordata; Mammalia; Rodentia; Octodontidae. The record is from RNAcentral.